GAAGACCACCACUUUGAUAGGUCAGGUGUGGAAGUGUAGUAAUACAUGAAGCUUACUGAUACUAAUCGCUCGAUUGGCUUGAUUGCACCCAUUAU
RNAcentral lists this ribosomal RNA (95 nucleotides) under Rhodobiaceae bacterium. RNAcentral's name for it is "partial 23S ribosomal RNA". It matches the Rfam family "Bacterial large subunit ribosomal RNA", at positions 2840 to 2925 of the family's 2925-position model. Lineage: Bacteria; Pseudomonadati; Pseudomonadota; Alphaproteobacteria; Hyphomicrobiales; Rhodobiaceae. The record is from RNAcentral.